AUAUCAUCCUUAACAAAGUUAGCAACCCAAUCCUUAUCGACCAGGAGUACUGCCCUUGGAACCAAUGCAACAAGAACAAACCAUCAACAAUUAAGCUGGUGGACAUUACCUUCAGGAAUAUUAGAGGAACAUCAGGGAACAAGGACGCAGUGAAACUAUUGUGCAGCAAGGGUCAUCCAUGUGAGAACGUUGAGAUUGGAGACAUUAACAUUGAGUACACAGGACCUGACGGUCCACCCACUUUCGAGUGCACAAACGUCACACCUAAGCUUGUGGGAGCCCAGAACCCAAAGGCUUGCGUUGGACCUGUGGUCAAGGCUCCUGGCAAAGAGUAAAAUGUUGAAGCUCAGAUCAACAAACUAGGGCUUUCACAUCAAAUUUUGUUUUUCCUUUUCUCUAACCCUUUUUCAAGUCACAUAUGAGUGAGUUUUAGAAAACUGUAACCAAAAAAAUGUAUAUUCGAUGCCAACACAUAUGUGUGAGUGCAUAAUGAUGUAAUUAAUAAAACUAAAUUAUAUAUUCUGCG
Brassica oleracea var. oleracea is the source of this 526-nucleotide long non-coding RNA. RefSeq lists it as uncharacterized. The record is from RefSeq and is a predicted model, not a curated record. Lineage: Eukaryota; Viridiplantae; Streptophyta; Magnoliopsida; Brassicales; Brassicaceae. The transcript is spliced from 2 exons.